This 381-nucleotide ribosomal RNA is filed under the name uncultured bacterium. RNAcentral describes it as "bacterial SSU rRNA". It matches the Rfam family "Bacterial small subunit ribosomal RNA", at positions 29 to 414 of the family's 1533-position model. The record is from RNAcentral.
AUUGAACGCUGGCGGCAUGCCUUACACAUGCAAGUCGAACGGCAGCGCGGGGCAACCUGGCGGCGAGUGGCGAACGGGUGAGUAAUAUAUCGGAACGUACCCAAGAGUGGGGGAUAACGUAGCGAAAGUUACGCUAAUACCGCAUACGAUCCAAGGAUGAAAGCAGGGGACCGCAAGGCCUUGUGCUCCUGGAGCGGCCGAUAUCUGAUUAGCUAGUUGGUGGGGAAAGGCCUACCAAGGCAUCGAUCAGUAGCUGGUCUGAGAGGACGACCAGCCACACUGGAACUGAGACACGGUCCAGACUCCUACGGGAGGCAGCAGUGGGGAAUUUUGGACAAUGGGCGCAAGCCUGAUCCAGCAAUGCCGCGUGAGUGAAGAAGG